UAGCGUAUAUUAAAGUUGUUGCAGUUAGAACGCUCGUAGUCGGAUUUCGGGGCGGGCCGACCGGUCUGCCGAUGGGUAUGCACUGGCCGGCGCGUCCUUCCUUCCGGAGACCGUGCCUACUCUUAACUGAGCGGGGGCGGGAGACGGGACUUUUACUUUGAAAAAAUCAGAGUGUUUCAAGCAGGCAGCUCGCUCUUGCAUGGAUUAGCAUGGGAUAAUGAAAUAGGACUUUGGUGCUAUUUUGUUGGUUUCGAACACCGAAGUAAUGAUGAGAAGGGACAGUCAGGGGCACUCGUAUUUUGCCGAGAGAGGUGAAAUUCUCAGACCAGCGAAAGACGAACCACUGCGAAAGCAUUUG
This 358-nucleotide ribosomal RNA is filed under the name Haptophyta environmental samples. RNAcentral describes it as "SSU rRNA". It matches the Rfam family "Eukaryotic small subunit ribosomal RNA", at positions 595 to 957 of the family's 1831-position model. The record is from RNAcentral. Lineage: Eukaryota; Haptophyta.